This 496-nucleotide unclassified non-coding RNA is filed under the name uncultured Paraglomus. RNAcentral's name for it is "SSU rRNA". It matches the Rfam family "Eukaryotic small subunit ribosomal RNA", at positions 591 to 1092 of the family's 1831-position model. Lineage: Eukaryota; Fungi; Glomeromycota; Glomeromycetes; Paraglomerales; Paraglomeraceae. The record is from RNAcentral.
CCAAUAGCGUAUAUUAAAGUUGUUGUGGUUAAAAAGCUCGUAGUUGAACCUUGGGCCUGGCUGGCCGGUCCGCCUCACCGCGUGUACUGGUCCGGCCAGGCCUUUCCCUCUGUGGAACCUCAUGCCCUUCACUGGGUGUGACGGGGAAGCAGGACUUUUACUGUGAAAAAAUUAGAGUGCUCCAAGCAGGCCUAUGCUCGAAUACAUUAGCAUGGAAUAAUAAAAGAGGACGUGCGGUUCUAUUUUGUGGGUUUCUAGGACCGCCGUAAUGAUUAAUAGGGACAGUCGGGGGCAUCAGUAUUCAAUUGUCAGAGGUGAAAUUCUUGGAUUUAUUGAAGACUAAAUACUGCGAAAGCAUUUGCCAAGGAUGUUUUCAUUAAUCAGGAACGAAAGUUAGGGGAUCGAAGACGAUCAGAUACCGUCGUAGUCUUAACCAUAAACUAUGCCGACUAGGGAUUAGCCUGAGUUCCUUAAAUGACUCGGCUAGCAGCUUCCG